GAUGAACGCUGGCGGCGUGCCUAAUACAUGCAAGUCGAGCGAACAGACGAGGAGCUUGCUCCUCUGACGUUAGCGGCGGACGGGUGAGUAACACGUGGAUAACCUACCUAUAAGACUGGGAUAACUUCGGGAAACCGGAGCUAAUACCGGAUAACAUGUUGAACCGCAUGGUUCAACAGUGAAAGACGGUCUUGCUGUCACUUAUAGAUGGCUCCGCGCCGCAUUAGCUAGUUGGUAAGGUAACGGCUUACCAAGGCAACGAUGCGUAGCCGACCUGAGAGGGUGAUCGGCCACACUGGAUCUGAGACACGGUCCAGACUCCUACGGGAGGCAGCAGUAGGGAAUCUUCCGCAAUGGGCGAGAGCCUGACGGAGCAACGCCGCGUGAGUGAAGAAGGUCUUCGGAUCGUAAAACUCUGUUAUUAGGGAAGAACAAAUGUGUAAGUAACUAUGCACGUCUUGACGGUACCUAAUCAGAAAGCCACGGCUAACUACGUG
This 497-nucleotide ribosomal RNA is filed under the name uncultured bacterium. RNAcentral describes it as "partial 16S ribosomal RNA". It matches the Rfam family "Bacterial small subunit ribosomal RNA", at positions 28 to 507 of the family's 1533-position model. The record is from RNAcentral.